RNAcentral lists this transfer-messenger RNA (353 nucleotides) under Candidatus Gastranaerophilaceae bacterium. It matches the Rfam family "transfer-messenger RNA". From Rfam's summary of the family: Bacterial tmRNA, also known as 10Sa RNA or SsrA, is named for its dual tRNA and mRNA-like properties. Its role is to liberate the mRNA from a stalled ribosome. To accomplish this part of the tmRNA is used as a reading frame that ends in a translation stop signal. Lineage: Bacteria; Bacillati; Candidatus Melainabacteria; Candidatus Gastranaerophilales; Candidatus Gastranaerophilaceae. The record is from RNAcentral. RNAcentral also lists the same sequence under 3 other names.
GGGGGCGUACAUGGUUUCGACGGGGAUCGCGGGGGCAGUAUAAGCGAGCCGAAGCCCCGAGCUUCGUUAAAAGCGGGACAGAAUAAUAACUGGCGAAAAUAAUACUUUACCCGUUGCCGCUUAAUUGACGGCAACCGUUCGCCCGCCGUUGCCCACGACGGCGGUUGCGGGCGUCAUUAAUGUGGGGAACCAGCCUGCGAAAGCUUUGACGCAGGUGGGAUUCAUGAAGCUACUGAAAGCGCGACCCUGACGGCAGGGGCGCGACGGAGGGAAUUUUAAAUUACCGUCUACGCUCGUAGAAAGUGCUGCUGAUGGAUUUUCGGACAGGGGUUCAACUCCCCUCGCCUCCACCA